UGGGGAAUAUUGCACAAUGGAGGGAACUCUGAUGCAGCGACGCCGCGUGAGUGAUGAAGGAAUUCGUUUCGUAAAACUCUGUUCUAUGGGAAGAAAAGGACUGUACCAUAGGAGAAAGCUCCGGCUAAGUACGUGCCAGCAGCCGCGGUAAUACGUAUGGAGCGAGCGUUGUCCGGAAUUAUUGGGCGUAAAGGGUGCGCAGGCGGCUUUACAAGUUGGAUGUGAAAUAUUGUGGCUCAACCACAAACGUGCAUCCAAAACUGCAAAGCUUGAGUUAAGGAGAGGUAAGUGGAAUUCCUGGUGUAGCGGUGGAAUGCGUAGAUAUCAGGAGGAAUACCGGUGGCGAAGGCGACUUACUGGACUUAAACUGACGCUCAGGCACGAAAGCGUGGGGAGCAAACAGG
RNAcentral lists this ribosomal RNA (404 nucleotides) under Fusobacteriota bacterium. RNAcentral's name for it is "Fusobacteria bacterium partial 16S ribosomal RNA". It matches the Rfam family "Bacterial small subunit ribosomal RNA", at positions 355 to 776 of the family's 1533-position model. The record is from RNAcentral. Lineage: Bacteria; Fusobacteriati; Fusobacteriota.